UACGGGGGGGGCAAGCGUUGUUCGGAAUUACUGGGCGUAAAGGGCGCGUAGGCGGCCUUCUAAGUCAGACGUGAAAUCCCUCGGCUCAACCGAGGAACUGCGUCUGAUACUGGAAGGCUUGAAUCCGGGAGAGGGAUGUGGAAUUCCAGGUGUAGCGGUGAAAUGCGUAGAUAUCUGGAGGAGCACCGGUGGCGAAGGCGGCAUCCUGGACCGGUAUUGACGCUGAGGCGCGAAAGCUAGGGGAGCAAACGGG
This 253-nucleotide ribosomal RNA is filed under the name uncultured bacterium. Its description in RNAcentral is "partial 16S ribosomal RNA". It matches the Rfam family "Bacterial small subunit ribosomal RNA", at positions 524 to 776 of the family's 1533-position model. The record is from RNAcentral.